Molecule: ribosomal RNA, 253 nt
Filed under: uncultured bacterium
Lineage: Bacteria
Description: partial 16S ribosomal RNA
Rfam family: Bacterial small subunit ribosomal RNA
Source: RNAcentral
UACGUAGGGGGCUAGCGUUGUCCGGAUUUAUUGGGCGUAAAGAGCGUGUAGGCGGCCAGGUAGGUCUGCUGUGAAAACUCGAGGCUUAACCUCGAGAUGUCGGCGGAAACCAUCUGACUAGAGUCCGGAAGAGGAGAGUGGAAUUCCUGGUGUAGCGGUGAAAUGCGCAGAUAUCAGGAAGAACACCCGUGGCUAAGGCGGCUCUCUAGGACGGUACUGACGCUGAGACGCGAAAGCGUGGGGAGCGAACAGG